UGUCGAGUAACUCCUAUCCCUACCUCCCCGUGGUGCCGCCUGGAGUACAAGUAACCGUAGGAAUGAUCGGGUAACCAACCUCGGUGGGACUUUGGUCGUAUGCUUACUGGGAAAG
This is a non-coding RNA of Aedes aegypti (yellow fever mosquito), 115 nucleotides long. Lineage: Eukaryota; Metazoa; Arthropoda; Insecta; Diptera; Culicidae. The record is from Rfam.